RNAcentral lists this transfer RNA (70 nucleotides) under Atta texana. RNAcentral's name for it is "tRNA-Arg". Lineage: Eukaryota; Metazoa; Arthropoda; Insecta; Hymenoptera; Formicidae. The record is from RNAcentral.
AUUCUUAAAGUAAUAUUUACACUUUAACUUCGAAUUAAAUUAUUGAUUUAAUAUAUUAAAUCUAAGAAUU